Molecule: ribosomal RNA, 409 nt
Filed under: Shigella sonnei
Lineage: Bacteria; Pseudomonadati; Pseudomonadota; Gammaproteobacteria; Enterobacterales; Enterobacteriaceae
Description: partial 23S ribosomal RNA
Rfam family: Bacterial large subunit ribosomal RNA
Source: RNAcentral
GGGUUGUGAGGUUAAGCGACUAAGCGUACACGGUGGAUGCCCUGGCAGUCAGAGGCGAUGAAGGACGUGCUAAUCUGCGAUAAGCGUCGGUAAGGUGAUAUGAACCGUUAUAACCGGCGAUUUCCGAAUGGGGAAACCCAGUGUGAUUCGUCACACUAUCAUUAACUGAAUCCAUAGGUUAAUGAGGCGAACCGGGGGAACUGAAACAUCUAAGUACCCCGAGGAAAAGAAAUCAACCGAGAUUCCCCCAGUAGCGGCGAGCGAACGGGGAGCAGCCCAGAGCCUGAAUCAGUGUGUGUGUUAGUGGAAGCGUCUGGAAAGGCGCGCGAUACAGGGUGACAGCCCCGUACACAAAAAUGCACAUAUUGUGAGCUCGAUGAGUAGGGCGGGACACGUGGUAUCCUGUCUG